RNAcentral lists this transfer RNA (74 nucleotides) under Helianthus annuus (common sunflower). Its description in RNAcentral is "tRNA-Glu". It matches the Rfam family "tRNA". From Rfam's summary of the family: Transfer RNA (tRNA) molecules are approximately 80 nucleotides in length. Lineage: Eukaryota; Viridiplantae; Streptophyta; Magnoliopsida; Asterales; Asteraceae. The record is from RNAcentral.
AUCCAUUGUCCUCCAGCGGUUAGUAUAUCUGGCUUUCACCCAGGAGACCCGGGUUUGAUUCCCAGCAAUGGAAC